RNAcentral lists this ribosomal RNA (483 nucleotides) under uncultured Persicirhabdus sp. RNAcentral describes it as "bacterial SSU rRNA". It matches the Rfam family "Bacterial small subunit ribosomal RNA", at positions 29 to 505 of the family's 1533-position model. The record is from RNAcentral. Lineage: Bacteria; Pseudomonadati; Verrucomicrobiota; Verrucomicrobiia; Verrucomicrobiales; Verrucomicrobiaceae.
AACGAACGCUGGCGGCGUGGAUAAGACAUGCAAGUCGAACGAUUGGAUAGCUUAGCUUGCUUUGCUUGAAGAGAGUGGCGCACGGGUUAGUAACACGUGAGCAACCUGCCCUGAAGCGGGGGAUAGCCUUUCGAAAGAGAGAUUAAUACCGCAUAUGACCUACGGGUUAAAGUUGGCUUCGGCUGACACUUCAGGAUGGGCUCGCGGCCUAUCAGCUAGUUGGUGAGGUAACUGCUCACCAAGGCGACGACGGGUAACUGGUCUGAGAGGACGAUCAGUAACACUGGAACUGAGACACGGUCCAGACACCUACGGGUGGCAGCAGUCGAGAAUCAUUCACAAUGGGGGCAACCCUGAUGGUGCAACGCCGCGUGGAGGAUGAAGGACCUAGGUUCGUAAACUCCUGUCAUCAAAGAGUAAUGCUUAUGCGUUAAAAGCGUGUAAGCUUGAUAGUAUUUGAAGAGGAAGGGACGGCUAACUUCG